This 21-nucleotide microRNA is filed under the name Heligmosomoides polygyrus. Its description in RNAcentral is "hpo-miR-10043f-3p". The record is from miRBase by way of RNAcentral. Lineage: Eukaryota; Metazoa; Nematoda; Chromadorea; Rhabditida; Heligmosomidae.
AUGGACUCCUCAUGACUAGCA